RNAcentral lists this long non-coding RNA (1562 nucleotides) under Marmota monax (woodchuck). Lineage: Eukaryota; Metazoa; Chordata; Mammalia; Rodentia; Sciuridae. The record is from RNAcentral.
GUUUAUGUCAGAGGAUGCAGUUAUACACAUUUAUUGCAGCUGGUGUCUGACCCAAGCAAUGUUAUGUUCAGAUUACUAUAAACAUGGGUAGACUCAUUAACAUAAGUUGUUUAACUAUUUAAUUAAGGAGGAGCAUUAUGUAUUCUUAAAUUACUUCCAAAAAUUAACAGUGGCAAAACUGUAUUUAAUGUUGUCACAACUCUGUUCACCUGCAUUUAGUCAUAAAUAACAAUGAUUUGAUGAUCUUUUUUCCCCAGUGGCUCUGGUUUAAAAUCAAGAUAACCAGAUAACCAAGUAUCCAAAUUAUUGGCCAAAAUCAGUGUUAAAAUAUGCAUUAAAGAAAGAAAAAGAAAAAAAAACCUGAAUUUUUUCCUAGUGGGAACCAGUGACAUUCAUAUUCAAGAUACUUAAUUUGAUUUACCUUUUAAAAACUUAAAUUUCUUAAGAAGAUCAGCACCUACAAAAGAGUCACAGAGGUACAAAAGGAGUCCACUGAAAAACACCCCUUCACAGUUGACAUUGCUGGAAUGGGGUCUGGAGCUGAUGUAGCAUAUGGCCACCUGAAAGCAACAAGCAGAAAUAGCAUGGGGAUUUCAAAAGCAAGCAAAUCACCUGCAUUUUAGUUGAAUGAGUUAGUGCCUUCCUCUUUUUUUCAGUAAGACAAAGAAGCUGAAUUUUUUUCAGUGUUAGGAGUGGUGGUUAUUUAUGCUAUUCAUCUCCUUUUUAGUAUACCGAGUUUUAACCUGUUUAAAAUGUCUCCCAUUUUUCAUAAUAAAGGUCUGUUGUGACAGAGAUUUAAUAUUAAUUUCAUUUUAGGAGAAAAACUCCAUAAAAAGAAUAUAAAAUUUUAAAAAGGACUAUCUUUCAUUUUUUAAAAAGUAUAUUUAGGAAAGAGAAUGUUUAGGUUACUUGAGAAUAAAAAUAAUUUUAAUUAAUUAGCUUUUCAUCUAGACAAAAUUUUCAGUUGGGUAGGAUUUUAAAACAGCAUGAGGGCAGGGCUUUUGUAUGUCAAUGGUGGAGCACUUGCCCAGCAUGCACAAGGAUCUAGGUUCAAUCCCCAGGAGGUGCAGACUGCAUGAAUUUAAAAUUUUAGCUCUAUAAAGCUUGCAGAUGCAGAAUGUAUACUUCCCUGUGAUUUUUGUGAAGUUAUAAAGUAGUUGGGAGUAGAACUGUGGAAUGGCUAAUGUGUGGGCCAGUCAGCUUGCGUUCACAUUCUGGCUUCUCUAUUUAGUGGCUGUAUGGCACUGGGAAAAUGUAUUUUGCUACACCUUAGUGUUACUCAUGUAAAUUACAGUAUUGUGGAGUAGAUUCAUUUAUAUUGAGAAAAAUGUUACCUGAUUCAUAAGGCAUUUGUGAGUUAAAUUAAUGUAAACCACUUAGCAUUCAGUAAAUGUUAGUUGCUGUUAGUAGAAGAGUAGUAUUGAGGUUAUCUAAUACUAAGUGCUUUGGACUCUGGGAUAGUGGAAUUGGAAGACCUGGGGUACACACAUAAUUUAUAUAGAUAACAUCAAGAGUAUUAUUAUAUCAAAUGGGUCUUAAGGUACUUUCUCUGAACAUUGCAG